This 252-nucleotide ribosomal RNA is filed under the name uncultured bacterium. RNAcentral describes it as "partial 16S ribosomal RNA". It matches the Rfam family "Bacterial small subunit ribosomal RNA", at positions 524 to 776 of the family's 1533-position model. The record is from RNAcentral.
UACGUAGGUCCCGAGCGUUGUCCGGAUUUAUUGGGCGUAAAGGGUGCGUAGGCGGGAUGCCAAGUCAGCGGUAAAAAUGCGGUGCUCAACGCCGUCGAGCCGUUGAAACUGGCGUUCUUGAGUGGGCGAGAAGUAUGCGGAAUGCGUGGUGUAGCGGUGAAAUGCAUAGAUAUCACGCAGAACUCCGAUUGCGAAGGCAGCAUACCGGCGCCCUUCUGACGCUGAGGCACGAAAGCGUGGGUAUCGAACAGG